This is a long non-coding RNA of Zophobas morio, 1146 nucleotides long. RefSeq lists it as uncharacterized. NCBI's taxonomy places the organism in Eukaryota, Metazoa, Arthropoda, Insecta, Coleoptera, Tenebrionidae. The transcript is spliced from 8 exons. The record is from RefSeq and is a predicted model, not a curated record.
GGUUCUGAACCUAAUAUUAUAAGAUUUUUAGAAAAUGAGAACGAUUAACACUUAGUACUUAAAGAAAAAGAAAAGGAGAUUUAUUUGCUUUCUUAGAAAUUUUUAAUAUACAAACAACCUUCUUUGUAUACUUGAUAAUAGUCCUGUUCGGUAAAGCGGACAGCGGAGGAGGUAAGACGACAUUUUGAAGAUACACCAUCUCUACUGACUCAGGAACUUGAGCUUCAAGAUCUGGAAAUAAGGAUAAGUAUGAAAAAUAAAGAAUGUUUUGAAUCUGAUUUAGCAUCUUUAAAAAAGGCAUUCAGAAUAGAAUUUCAAAAUGCUCAAAACGAGCGAGUAUUUGACGCACAGCUCAAGCAAAUUAUAAAAAAGAAAAAGAAGAAUUUAGAAAGAGUUUUGAGGGCUUAGAAAGUUUAACCAAAAACGUUUUGGAGCUUAGUCGGCUUAUAAAGCAAUGUGAAGCACUAAAAUUAAGCAAUUAUCUAAAAAUUCUAGCCAAAGAAAGCAUUCUCCUGCAAGAACAAAAUCACAACCUGGUAGUUUAGCUGGAAAGGCAACCCCAACUCGGAAAUGAGUUGGUUUCUCUAAAAAGGUGGCAUCAGCAAAUGCCCAGUCUUGUAGAGAUAUAACUAAUGAUGUUCUUCUAGAAUAUCUUCAAUCUUUAGAGGCAGAAAACCGUGAACAGGUUGAGCAGUUGAACAAGGUGAAAUCCCAAAUCGAGCAUUUAAAAAUUCGACUGGAAGAAUUAGAAAAUGACUUAACUGAGAUAAAAAGGGUCUUGUGCGUAGCAGUAAAAGAUCUUAGCGAUUGCCGUUAUUUGUUCUCUUAGGGACUUGUUUCUAAAGAUUUAAAGCUUAUUUCUAUUAUCAAGAACGGAGUACAGCACGGUUGCAAGUGUUUCUGCGUACCGAGAAAGAAGCUAUAAAGGUUCAUUUUCAGUCCUACGAAGAAGAACUAAAGACCUUACACCGGCACAGCCGAGACUUCGACUAUACUUUGUUUAAGCAAAGAGAAUCCAUUUUAGAGGUGUCUCUGGAAAGAUCCUGUUUAGAAAAUGAAACUUUAAAAAAGGAAUUGGAGGGAAAAAACGCUUGAAGUAGAGCGCUUUCGAGCAGAAAUUUCUCCUACCAGCGCAGAAUUAAUACG